GAUAAAAUAGCUCAGUGGUAGAGUCUCUGCUUUUUAUGCAAAAGGUCCCAGGUUCAAACCUUUGGCAUUUUAUUG
Podarcis lilfordi (Lilford's wall lizard) is the source of this 75-nucleotide non-coding RNA. The record is from the annotation of a GenBank genome assembly. Lineage: Eukaryota; Metazoa; Chordata; Lepidosauria; Squamata; Lacertidae.